RNAcentral lists this ribosomal RNA (255 nucleotides) under uncultured bacterium. Its description in RNAcentral is "partial 16S ribosomal RNA". It matches the Rfam family "Bacterial small subunit ribosomal RNA", at positions 524 to 776 of the family's 1533-position model. The record is from RNAcentral.
UACGUAGGGGGCAAGCGUUGUCCGGAAUCAUUGGGCGUAAAGAGCGUGUAGGCGGCUCGAUAAGUCCGCUCUGAAAGCCCGGGGCUCAACCCCCGGGAGGCGGGCGGAUACUGUCGAGCUAGAGUCCGGAAGAGGCGAGUGGAAUUCCUGGUGUAGCGGUGAAAUGCGCAGAUAUCAGGAGGAACACCAAUGGCGAAGGCAGCUCGCUGGGACGGUACUGACGCUGAGACGCGAAAGCGUGGGGGAGCAAACAGG